AGUGAACGCUGGCGGUAGGCCUAACACAUGCAAGUCGAACGGCAGCACAGUAAGAGCUUGCUCUUACGGGUGGCGAGUGGCGGACGGGUGAGGAAUACAUCGGAAUCUACUUUUUCGUGGGGGAGAACGUAGGGAAACUUACGCUAAUACCGCAUACGACCUACGGGUGAAAGCAGGGGAUCUUCGGACCUUGCGCGAUUGAAUGAGCCGAUGUCGGAUUAGCUAGUUGGCGGGGUAAAGGCCCACCAAGGCGACGAUCCGUAGCUGGUCUGAGAGGAUGAUCAGCCAAACUGGAACGUAGACACGGUCCAGACUCCUACGGGAGGCAGCAGUGGGGAAUAUUGGACAAUGGGCGCAAGCCUGAUCCAGCCAUACCGCGUGGGUGAAGAAGGCCUUCGGGUUGUAAAGCCCUUUUGUUGGGAAAGAAAAGCAGCAGGUUAAUACCCCGCUGUUCUGACGGUACCCAAAGAAUAAGCACCGGCUAACUUCGUG
RNAcentral lists this ribosomal RNA (492 nucleotides) under uncultured bacterium. Its description in RNAcentral is "partial 16S ribosomal RNA". It matches the Rfam family "Bacterial small subunit ribosomal RNA", at positions 29 to 507 of the family's 1533-position model. The record is from RNAcentral.